GUUGCAACCCUGGGGGAUGUGCAGAGAGCCGGGCCCGCGGGCGGUCAACCUGAUCGCGGGUGCCCGCCCCCAGAAGGCCCCGCGUAGGGUCGGGGAAGGGCGGUGGGGGUCGGGUGAGUAUGCCGGCCCCGGGGGCCCUAGGACAGGCCGGGACUGAGACGACUGAGGGCAUGAGGGGCAGGGAGGCUGGCACAGGGGAGAGGAGACCCAAGGACCCGCCCAGACCGCGCUGGUGGUGUGGGAGCCUCUCAGGGUUGGGGAGGACGUGUAGACCCGCAUCAAAUGCAAACGGACUCCCUGCCCUGCACUUUUAGUCUCUCUCACACACUCCCAUGAUUCCAGUUCCACUCCAGUUCCUGGAGGGGACGGUGGGAGGAUGGGGUGUGAGCUCCUCUAACUUCUAGUUGCAGGCAUUAAAAAUAACUUCCCGCUGUCUACCCCCGACGCAGCUCUCGGGAGACUGGAGACUCACCCCCUCGCCUAGUCACAGUCCCGGCACCGUGUCCGCAGUGGUGAUUUUAAAUAAUUCUCUCAAGUAUUGAUCUCUGCUCCCCCCAGAGUUUAACGGAUUUUAUUCUUUGGCUGCCUUUACACGGGGUAUCGUGAAGAGACAGAAGAGGAUGCGAAACUCAGGAUUAUAAUUGGUCUCAGCCUACUAUUACAGAGACAAACAACUUUUGCACCGCCCCGCUUGGGAAAAUGCUCUCCCAGUCUCAAGAAAAUUGAUCGAGCCAGUUUAACAAUAAGGUUGGCAGCGGUGGGAUUCGAACCCACGCCCCCGAAGAGACUGGAGCCUUAAUCCAGCGCCUUAGACCGCUCGGCCACGCUACCGUACAUACGAUAGCCUAAAACUCUUCCUGAUAGUUUAAAAGGUACAAGACUGUUCUUGCACGUGUUAUUUUCUUCUAGAGCCUUUUGUGCUCUGUUUCUGAUACCCGAGGGUAAAGGGAGAGGCAGCCAACGCUCAACAUCCAUCAAACUCGAAAGUAAUUAGCCCUUGACAAAAUGAUCGGAAUUCACCACCGCCGACGCAGCACCGGAACUCUAAGGAUGCUGAGAUCAAGAGUCGCCAAUUUGUCAGCUGCGUUUGGGGAUCGGCAGCGGGAAGUCAUUUCUAAUGUCCGCAACCAGAAAACAGAGGAGCUCCCUUCCUGCUCACCCGGAACUCCGUUCCUGGUUGCUGUGUCUGUGUGUGAAUUCUUGUUGUGAAAGUCGUGGAAGGAAACAACUUCGCAAACAGGCCUACUUUUUUUUUUGCUGAACAUGGUCACGGUCUUCAUUUACAAAGUUCAGGGAGGUAAUCAGUUUGCAUUUGGCGCGGAGCAUCGCAUUCUCUCCGUACUCGCAGAGGACGCGUCCUGCCCUCUCUUACCCCUUGAACGCGAGCUGGGCGGGUCCCUUGGCCCAGGUCUCGGCUUCCAGACCGCUCAUCCUCUCUCUCAGUCCCGCCUGAUCCAUAAGAUGCUGCCUCUUUUGAGCGAGCCCCAGUUCCACCUUUUCAAAUCCCAGCGGCUCCACUUAACAGCCAUAAACCCAUUGGCGAGUCACUUAAGCUUAUCGGGUAUCACUUUCUUCAUAUGUAAAAUGGUG
Equus caballus (horse) is the source of this 1590-nucleotide long non-coding RNA. The record is from Ensembl. Lineage: Eukaryota; Metazoa; Chordata; Mammalia; Perissodactyla; Equidae.